CCACUAUUAUUCAUUUUUAACAAUGUGAACAAGAAACAAUACUCAUGUGUAAACCACUUUCUUUUCCUGGGUAUUUUUGCCAAAUUUCCUGCAAAUGUGACAAUAAGCAAGUAAAUGUCUUAGCCAUAAAACAGGUAUGUGUCUCAGCCUAAAUUACCAUAGGAGCGCACUAAGUAAAAGAAGAGAUUUUAAUACCUCUAACAACAUUAAAAUAUUAAGUUCUCAAAUAACUAUAGUCCACUGGGCACCCACAAGUAAAUGAAGGAGUAAGUGGGGGGCCAAACUGCUAAUGAACUCAACUUAAUGGGAGACCUCAGGUAUGCACUAAGCAGCAAUGUAUAUAUUAUUAGUUUUGUUUGUAAUAUCACUAUUAAUUAUAGUACAGUAAAACUAGAUUCAUCUCUCAAGUUAAUAACAAAUAUACAAAUAUAGUUCACACAUAGAAUAACUGUGAAAUUGGAAUAAAAAGUGUUCUCCACUUUUUUUAAGUCAUAUUUUAAAAACGCAUACACAGAUAAUUUCAUUAGACAUAAACUAUAUGCAUGUAUAUGUCACUUAGGUGUAUAAAUGUGAUCACAUUAACUUGUUAUUCAUAUUUUUCAAUGCUACCAUUCCCCUUUAACAGCUAAUUCUAUUGAGGUUCAGACACACUAACUGGGUUACUUAGUAUUUAUAGUGGCUAAGUAAUAAAGCCAGAUUUGGAACAGAGGACAGAUUCUGGCUCAUGUUACAGUGCUCUUUCCACUGACACAUACUCCCCACAUUUGAGCUUUUAGUGUCAUUUAUCGUUCAUGUUUGCCUCAGGUGCACGAGGAACCUUGCUAUUAUACCAGCGCUUUGGAGAGCACGCAUAGAUCAUAUUUUCCUAAUUCAUCAUUUUGCACGGGAGGCAAGUGAAAGCCAGUAAAGUGAAGAAACUGAAGAAAACCACACAGAGAUAAUGACAGGACUAGAACUCAAGCCCUGUGCUCUUUGAAAUGCUCCCCAGAGAUGAAGUUCUGAUUGGACUGGGAGGUGACAUGCUCCAAGGAGCUGCUUCAUGGGUCCACCACUCCUGUUCCCUACAGAAUGAAUGGAGUCUCUGCAGCCAAGGUGACAGAAACAUCCACCCAGGGCUCAGUGCGGCUGAACGGGAGAACUCAAGCUUCCAGACCUGCUGUCCAGUUCAUGAGGCAGGAAUGGAAACAGAGACAAAGCAAAGGCUGUCGGCAUAGGACCUUCAACAACAAGAGUCAGAAAGCAUGAUGUCAGAUCUACACGUCCAGGAAGAAAGGAUAUUAGCUGUUAAAUCAAUCGACCCCCAGAAGGAGAAAGCAAUUGGCUAAAGAAAAAGAAAGCAAUUGGUGAUCUACGAACACCCCUUUGGAAAGAAACACAGAAGUUUUUGAAGAAGAAACUUCUCCUUGGAUAUAUCUGGAUAUAAAUUUCAGACUAAUGUCCCAUACAGCACCAAUUACUGUUUUGCAUCUUAACAGUUUGGACUGAGGCAGUAUCAUACCCAAACAAAUGGUUCUGAAAGGUUCUAGGAUACAUCAGAAUCACAUGCAGAAUCAUUCAUUCAUUCAUUUAUUCACUCAUUCAUAUUUUGUUGUUCAUAUCUUGGGUGGCACUGGAGAAUUUAAAUUUCUAACAAGUUUCCAGGUAUGGAUGCUGCUAGUCUAGAGACAGUGAUUCUAGAAUCACCGCUCUAACCUCACUCUGAUCUCUGGAAACCCAAACUAAAAGCAAUACGAAACUUUAUUAUUCAUUUAACUACAGCAACUCACAAACUAUGUGGUUCAUGACCUUAGCAUUCAUCUUAGAGUAAUCAAUAGCCAUGCUGUGGGUUCAGAGGAAACAAGCCAUUCUUCAUUUGUGGGUAUAUAGGUGAACAGUCAUAAGAGGUAUCCUGGAGCCCUGCAACGCUCUCUUACUGCUUCUGCACAUUGCUUUUCCAUAGGUGGCUUAAAAGUUAAUUGAAUUUGGCAGGUAAUAGACAAAUCCCCAUCUAUGUUUGUUUAUGAAUAACUUUCAUUAUUAUUGGAAGUAAUAUAAACCAUCUUGGUCAAACAUAUACAACAAUAUGGUUUAAAUCCUGAAAGACACAGGAGGUUUGAAUGUGGCUCUCCAGGAGUGGUAAAUGAUAAUACAGCAAAAACAAUUAUCUGAUGCGGAAGAUUUCUUGUAUUAAGAAAAUAUUACAGUAGUAAUUAAAAAAAAGAAUACACAAAUGAAAACUUUGGGGAUCUCCAACAAGCAAGACAAAAUAACAUCUUACUAUUUCUCUAUGCCAAGGUAUCUGAUUCACUAAAUGUUAAAUUAAAGCUUGCCUACAACUAUACUAAUCAGACUCAAUCAGGGGAUGGGUAACAGGCAUUGUGGAACUGGUAAAGCUCUCUGUUGGAACAAAUUAUUUAGAAAAGUAUAUCCUUUCAUCAAUUCCAUGAUUUCACUUAUAUAAGUAUAUUCCUGGUGUAAACACUAGAGAAAACAAGGGGUAGAGGUGAGAAUUGUCUUUCAAAACUCAAAGUUUAUCUUAUUGUCCCUAUCACUUGAACUCAGAACCCAUGAUACUAAGAAAGAUAAACAAUGUUUAUGUAACAUCAUGUGUCAAGUAUGUGCAAAUAAGAAAUAUAUGUUAUUAAGGACACCUGGAUAACACAGUCAGUUAAAUGUCCA
Long non-coding RNA from Mustela erminea (ermine), 2658 nucleotides. RefSeq lists it as uncharacterized. The transcript has 4 exons. The record is from RefSeq and is a predicted model, not a curated record. NCBI's taxonomy places the organism in Eukaryota, Metazoa, Chordata, Mammalia, Carnivora, Mustelidae.